UUGAACGCUGGCGGCAUGCCUUACACAUGCAAGUCGAACGGUAGAGGGGCAACCCUUGAGAGUGGCGAACGGGUGAGUAAUGCAUCGGAACGUGCCCAGUCGUGGGGGAUAACGCAGCGAAAGCUGCGCUAAUACCGCAUACGAUCUAUGGAUGAAAGCGGGGGAUCGCAAGACCUCGCGCGAUUGGAGCGGCCGAUAUCAGAUUAGGUAGUUGGUGGGGUAAAAGCCCACCAAGCCGACGAUCUGUAGCUG
This 252-nucleotide ribosomal RNA is filed under the name uncultured bacterium. RNAcentral describes it as "partial 16S ribosomal RNA". It matches the Rfam family "Bacterial small subunit ribosomal RNA", at positions 30 to 289 of the family's 1533-position model. The record is from RNAcentral.